Molecule: transfer RNA, 81 nt
Filed under: Pseudoflavonifractor sp. AF19-9AC
Lineage: Bacteria; Bacillati; Bacillota; Clostridia; Eubacteriales; Oscillospiraceae
Description: tRNA-Ala
Source: RNAcentral
GGGCCUGUGCAACGCCCAUCCCGGGAGAGCGUACGGUUCGCAUCCGUAAGGUCGUCGGUUCGAUCCCGAUUAGGUCCACCA